Molecule: ribosomal RNA, 477 nt
Filed under: uncultured bacterium
Lineage: Bacteria
Description: partial 16S ribosomal RNA
Rfam family: Bacterial small subunit ribosomal RNA
Source: RNAcentral
AUGAACGCUGGCGGCGUACCUAACACAUGCAAGUCGAACGGAGUCCAGCCUUUAAGACCUUCGGGUCAAAGAGGGGAAGACUGAGUGGCGGACGGGUGAGUAACACGUGGGCAACCUGGCUCAUAGAGGGGGAUAACAGAGAGAAAUUUCUGCUAAUACCGCAUAAGCACACACUGCCGCAUGGCAGAGGGUGAAAAGAGAAUCGCUAUGAGAUGGACCCGCGUCUGAUUAGCCAGUUGGCAGGGUAAGAGCCUACCAAAGCGACGAUCAGUAGCCGAUCUGAGAGGAUGAACGGCCACAUUGGGACUGAGACACGGCCCAAACUCCUACGGGAAGCAGCAGUGGGGGAUAUUGCACAAUGGGGGGAACCCUGAUGCAGCGACGCCGCGUGAGUGAAGAAGUAUUUCGGUAUGUAAAGCUCUAUCAGCAGGGAAGAUAAUGACAGUACCUGAAUAAGAAGCCCCGGCUAACUACGUG